This 588-nucleotide ribosomal RNA is filed under the name Triticum aestivum (bread wheat). RNAcentral's name for it is "partial small subunit ribosomal RNA". The record is from RNAcentral. Lineage: Eukaryota; Viridiplantae; Streptophyta; Magnoliopsida; Poales; Poaceae.
AUGCCGGAGCAGGCCGAGCGGCUGCGGCUGCCUUCUUUCGUUGCUUACAAGACAGAGGAGAAGGACUAUGACGCGCCGGAGCAGCCGGAGCGACGGUGGGUCUCUUCCACCCUUGCUGAUAAGGCGGAGAAGGAGGAGGCUGGCUGGUCGGGCGCGCCGGCCCAAUCAAACCACAGCCAGGGCGCAUGGCUUCUCUCUCUGUCUUGCUCCUCUCUCGAUCCCCUCCAGGUCCAGCCGCCACCGCCGAACGCCGACCUCCGUCCUCUCCCCCAACCCCAACCCCAACUCCAACUCCGGCCUCCACUCCACCGCCGGCGAUCCAUCCGUUCCCCUUCUCUCCCUCGCCGUAGAUCCGCUCGAGCAGCGCAGCCCACGGUCAGAUCAGAUCCUCGCGCCCGAAACCCUAGACCUCCGGCCAUGGCGACCGGCCGUAGCACAGGUUGGAGGUGCCACCAUGGAUUCCUCUGCCGGGGACGCCGCCCAAGUGCUCCUCAAGGCCCGCUGCUCCUUCUUCCUCCUUUUCCUCAAAUUCAAGGGCAAGCAGCAGCACACGCCAUCCUCAAGGCGCACGGUUCUUCUCUUCUCUGA